This 641-nucleotide ribosomal RNA is filed under the name uncultured bacterium. RNAcentral describes it as "bacterial SSU rRNA". The stretch from base 1 to 537 matches the Rfam family "Bacterial small subunit ribosomal RNA", at positions 338 to 873 of the family's 1533-position model. The record is from RNAcentral.
CCUACGGGAGGCAGCAGUGGGGAAUAUUGGACAAUGGGCGAAAGCCUGAUCCAGCAAUUCCGCGUGUGUGAAGAAGGCCUUCGGGUUGUAAAGCACUUUAGUGGGGAAGAAACAGCUUGGCCACGCCAAGCCUUGACGGUACCCCAAGAAUAAGCACCGGCUAACUCUGUGCCAGCAGCCGCGGUAAUACAGAGGGUGCAAGCGUUAAUCGGAUUUACUGGGCGUAAAGGGUGCGUAGGUGGCUAUUUAAGUCGGAUGUGAAAGCCCGGGGCUCAACCUCGGAAUUGCAUUCGAUACUGAGUGGCUAGAGUUCGGUAGAGGGCGGCGGAAUUUCCGGUGUAGCGGUGAAAUGCGUAGAUAUCGGAAGGAACAUCAAUGGCGAAGGCAGCCGCCUGGGCCUGGACUGACACUGAGGCACGAAAGCGUGGGUAGCAAACAGGAUUAGAUACCCUGGUAGUCCACGCCGUAAACGAUGAGAACUUGACGUUGGUCGUUUUACGAAUCGGUGUCGCNGCUACGACGAUAGUUACGUCCGUCCGUCGGGUAGGUACGGCCGGCCGACGGUUAGGUAAACGUACGUAAAGUUAGUUAAGUUAGUUACGGCGUGAGACGUUGCCGACGGACGACGACGAGGGAGGAGG